ACUUGAAUUGCUCACAGCUCAUGUAUGAUUUAACAGGCAACAGCAGAGAUAUAAGCAUGCCUGAAUCUCCAGAGCAUGACAAAGGAGUGGAUGGAUAGCACCACAUUCCUGAAAUCUCACUCCAGAUCAAAAAAUAAACUGCAAAAGGAAAAUAAAUGAAUCAUUCUCAUGUCCACUGUGGAUGAAGUUACACAGCAUCACAGAAUCAGAGCUUUAAGAAAUUUUGACAUGUUCUUUCAGAUUCCAAUUCUUUGGAUUCUUAAGCCAAACUUUUUCAAGAUGGACCAGUACCUGCAAAGAGUUGGAGUAUUUUAAAUAUGCCUUUAGAAACUGGGAUAGAAAUAAAAGCUCUGCAGAGACAGAUAAAAGGGAUCA
This 375-nucleotide long non-coding RNA is filed under the name Zonotrichia albicollis (white-throated sparrow). Its description in RNAcentral is "lncRNA (ENSZALG00000007055.1)". The record is from RNAcentral. Lineage: Eukaryota; Metazoa; Chordata; Aves; Passeriformes; Passerellidae.